CGAGUGGCGAACGGGUGAGUAACGCGUGAGGAACCUGCCUCAAAGAGGGGGACAACAGUUGGAAACGACUGCUAAUACCGCAUAAGCCCACGACCCGGCAUCGGGUAGAGGGAAAAGGAGCAAUCCGCUUUGAGAUGGCCUCGCGUCCGAUUAGCUAGUUGGUGAGGUAACGGCCCACCAAGGCGACGAUCGGUAGCCGGACUGAGAGGUUGAACGGCCACAUUGGGACUGAGACACGGCCCAA
Molecule: ribosomal RNA, 244 nt
Filed under: uncultured bacterium
Lineage: Bacteria
Description: partial 16S ribosomal RNA
Rfam family: Bacterial small subunit ribosomal RNA
Source: RNAcentral